Molecule: long non-coding RNA, 999 nt
Filed under: Homo sapiens (human)
Lineage: Eukaryota; Metazoa; Chordata; Mammalia; Primates; Hominidae
Description: non-protein coding TMSB15B-AS1:15
Source: RNAcentral
GCUCUUUUGUCUCAAUGGGCAGAGACUGAAAGCAACCGCGGCUGCCCGGAGGUCCGAACUGGAGGGUGGCCGCAGCCGUGACUUCCUUGGGAACCGCGCUGCCUCGACUCGGCUACCUCUCUGCGAAGCACUCGCUAAGCCGGGCAGCCCCGGGGUCGCUUAGCGGCCCAGGAGGCGCCAGCGAUCCUGUUCCCCUGCAGAGCUAUGGGGACCGGAAGGCGAAACAGAGCUGUCGACGCGGGAGCAUACGCUGCCCACCAGUGGAGCGCAGGUAAAGAAAGAGCGCGCGAUUUCCCGGCGCGGAGAGGGGUGGGGGAAGCCCCACCAGGACUGGGCGGCGCCCGGCUUGGAGAAUCAGUAACUGCGAGGCAGGGGAUGGAGCACUCCCAUGGCCUGGUUGCGCUGAGAAAGGAGUUGUGGCUCAUCUGGAUGCUGCCGACUGGGUCAUCAAAGCCGAAUCCGAAUUUGAAUUCUGUGCGGCUGAUUGCAGAGCUGGUAGGCCGACGGUUUCCCGCAGGAAAUGUACGGGGGGCGGGAGUGCAGGAGGCACUUUGGCUUGUGUUCAGAAGAUGGGAGAGGGAAUUUUCCGCCUGGCGACAGAGGAGGCGGUGGAGGGGAGGUAUCAGGUUUUCAGAAGAGGCUGCUCCCAACCCUUCCUUUCCUUCCUUCGCGGCACAGUCUUGAGGCCCUGAGGACUGGGAUCUGCGACCCCCAGUGGACAAAAGUCGACUCUACCCCAGAGGCUAAUUUUCUCAAGGCAGGCACCUGUUGAGAGGCUGCAAGUAAAAUACAGGGGAACGCUAGUUUCCGAGCUCAUGUAAGAAUCUGAGAAAUAACGGGGGUAAACUUUGACAAAGGGGUGUGUGAUUGAGACCUGAGGUCAUGAGAUUAAUGGGUUCUUAUUACCUCUUGCGGGGGGAGGUAGUAAAGGGGAGGGGCAGGUGGCCUGUGGCGUCCUGAAGAUUUUUCAUGCAUUCUUUUUCCGAGAACUAAACAUUG